This 461-nucleotide ribosomal RNA is filed under the name uncultured bacterium. RNAcentral's name for it is "partial 16S ribosomal RNA". It matches the Rfam family "Bacterial small subunit ribosomal RNA", at positions 338 to 795 of the family's 1533-position model. The record is from RNAcentral.
CCUACGGGGGGCAGCAGUGAGGAAUAUUGGUCAAUGGGCGAGCGCCUGAACCAGCCAAGUCGCGUGAGGGAAGACGGUCCUAUGGAUUGUAAACCUCUUUAGGCGGGGAGCAAUGCCGGGCACGCGUGCCCGGAGUGAGAGUACCCGCAGAAUAAGCAUCGGCUAACUCCGUGCCAGCAGCCGCGGUAAUACGGAGGAUCCGAGCGUUAUCCGGAUUUAUUGGGUUGAAAGGGAGCGUAGGCGGGUGGUUAAGUCAGUGGUGAAAGUUUGCGGCUCAACCGUAAAAUUGCAGUUGAAACUGGCAGUCUUGAGUACAGUAGAGGUGGGCGGAAUGCGUGGUGUAGCGGUGAAAUGCUGAGAUAUCACGAAGAAAUCCGAUUGCGAAGGCAGCGCACUGGACUGCAACUGACACUGAGGCUCGAAAGUGUGGGUAUCAAACAGGAUUAGAUACCCGGGUAGUC